Molecule: non-coding RNA, 552 nt
Organism: Myodes glareolus (Bank vole)
Lineage: Eukaryota; Metazoa; Chordata; Mammalia; Rodentia; Cricetidae
Source: RefSeq, a predicted model, not a curated record
UAAUGGGAGCUCACCAAAUCCAGCUAGACCGGUACUGAAUGAGCAUGCGAUCAAAUCGGACUGUCUGAAUGUGGCUGACCAUUGGGGGCUGACAGAGAAACCUUUGGAGAAGAAAAGCCAUGGACACCAUCAAGACUGAUAAGGAUUAAAUUAGAAUGAGAGAGACCUCCAGAUUAAGAGAUGUGAAAAUUUACCAAACACAUGGCCAUUCAACACAACCUAACUUAUAAGACCAACAAAUUUCUUUUAUUUAAUAAGAUAUAACCCAUCAUAAAGGAAACUCCCUAGAAUUAGAGAUGAAGCAGAGUUUUGAUUUUGUCCUUCCAGGAAAGUAAAAAUAUCCAACUAUUAAAUGAGAUAUUAAAAUAAGAAAGAUAAAUCACAAAGAGAAUAUUUUCCAAGAAAAAGAGUAAAUUGACCUAGUAGUAUAAUACAUUUUCACAACAAAAAAAAUUGAUAAAUCUUCUCAGUUGUUGCUUCUGCUGGUAUCUACAGUUGUGUGAGGAAAAUGGACUACUUUUAUACACAAUUGAAAUAAAAUUUAAAGCUGGU